UACAGAGGGGGCAAGCGUUGUUCGGAAUUACUGGGCGUAAAGGGCGCGUAGGCGGCCUGCUAAGUCGAACGUGAAAUCCCUGGGCUCAACCCAGGAACUGCGUCCGAUACUGGUUGGCUUGAAUCCGGGAGAGGGAUGUGGAAUUCCAGGUGUAGCGGUGAAAUGCGUAGAUAUCUGGUGGAACACCGGUGGCGAAGGCGACAUCCUGGACCGGUAUUGACGCUGAGGCGCGAAAGCCAGGGGAGCAAACGGG
RNAcentral lists this ribosomal RNA (253 nucleotides) under uncultured bacterium. RNAcentral describes it as "partial 16S ribosomal RNA". It matches the Rfam family "Bacterial small subunit ribosomal RNA", at positions 524 to 776 of the family's 1533-position model. The record is from RNAcentral.